UACGGAAGGCAGCAGUGGGGAAUAUUGCACAAUGGGCGCAAGCCUGAUGCAGCCAUGCCGCGUGUAUGAAGAAGGCCUUCGGGUUGUAAAGUACUUUCAGUCGUGAGGAAGGUGUUAAGGUUAAUAACCUUAGCAAUUGACGUUAGCGACAGAAGAAGCACCGGCUAACUCCGUGCCAGCAGCCGCGGUAAUACGGAGGGUGCGAGCGUUAAUCGGAAUUACUGGGCGUAAAGGGCACGCAGGCGGUUAAUUAAGUUGGAUGUGAAAUCCCCGGGCUUAACCUGGGAAUGGCAUUCAAGACUGGUUAGCUAGAGUCUUGUAGAGGGGGUAGAAUUCCAUGUGUAGCGGUGAAAUGCGUAGAGAUGUGGAGGAAUACCGGUGGCGAAGGCGGCCCCCUGGGACAAAGACUGACGCUCAUGUGCGAAAGCGUGGGGAGCAAAC
RNAcentral lists this ribosomal RNA (441 nucleotides) under uncultured bacterium. Its description in RNAcentral is "bacterial SSU rRNA". It matches the Rfam family "Bacterial small subunit ribosomal RNA", at positions 340 to 773 of the family's 1533-position model. The record is from RNAcentral.